Molecule: ribosomal RNA, 481 nt
Filed under: Actinomyces sp. oral taxon 525
Lineage: Bacteria; Bacillati; Actinomycetota; Actinomycetes; Actinomycetales; Actinomycetaceae
Description: bacterial SSU rRNA
Rfam family: Bacterial small subunit ribosomal RNA
Source: RNAcentral
GACGAACGCUGGCGGCGUGCUUAACACAUGCAAGUCGAACGGGCCCGUCCUUGUUUUUGGGGGCGGGUUGAGUGGCGAACGGGUGAGUAUCACGUGAGUAACCUGCCCUCCUCUCCUGGAUAACCGCUUGAAAGGGCGGCUAAUACGGGGUGGUCCGGUUGGUCCGCAUGGGCUGGUCGGGAUAGUUUCAUCUUCGGGUGUUUCGGUGGGGGAUGGGCUCGCGGCCUAUCAGCUUGUUGGUGGGGUGAUGGCCUACCAAGGCGGUGACGGGUAGCCGGCCUGAGAGGGUGGGCGGCCACACUGGGACUGAGACACGGCCCAGACUCCUGCGGGAGGCAGCAGUGGGGGGUAUUGCACAAUGGGCGGAAGCCUGAUGCAGCGACGUCGCGUGAGGGAUGGAGGCCUUCGGGUUGUGAACCUCUGUUUCCGGUGGUGAAGGCCCCGCCCUUGGUGGUGGGGUGACGGAGCCGGGAUAAGCGCC